UUUGUUCCAUUCAUUUCUGAACUUUGAAAGGACGGGGCUUUGAGAAAAUCAGCCUAGCUAUAUUCUUCCUAUCCUUUGCUAGACGAUAAGACGUUCGUCAUCAUCUCUACGCUGGGUGAGAGCAACUCGUCUUGGGAUCAAGCAGUUAUAUCUGCUGCAUGCGCGCUGCUUCUUUCUCCACGAAACAUCGAUCGGAAACUCCCUUUCUCCUUUUCAUAACGAUAAGGGUAAGCUUCAUUGCUCCAGCCGGGCUGUUGCCGCCGCUUACUAAGCGCUGGUUGUACCCCGGCUGGGCUGCUAGUUGCUUAAACCAGCCUGCAAAAGUUCUGUAAGCAACAAUCCAUGUUAAGUUAUGAGAUAAUCUAUAUGAAAGUACAUAAAGGUUAUGGAUUGCUUGUUUGUGGAGAAAGAAUCUGUUGCACCAGUCCAACCUUAGACGGGUCGCUCUCACCUGGAGUGGCUGUGACUAAAGGUAUAACUUGAUAUUGCCGGAAUCCGGUUUUGUAUGAGAGUAGGGCAAAAUAUAUUGUUCUCGAAACCAGUCAAUCACCACGCACCUCACUGUAAGAUUCUCAAUGCGUCAAUCUUUUAGAAAGACGAAAAAUCUCGUCAAACAGAACGGCGCAUGAACUACAUGUGCGACUCAAAGUGCGCGUGUGACAUCCAUGCGUCACUACAAGGGGAGCUCUAUUUCCUCCACGUGCGACUUUUUUGGGACCAUGGUCAUCGGUUUCUUCAGACCUAACGUUCCGCCGUACUUCCAGAGUGGCACAUGUCCCGGGCCACCACAGUCUUGGUGUUUCCAUUUUUUAUUUUCUCUACGGUUGAAAAUGCAGAUCUACAAUUUUCCAAGUUGUAAUUCGCUAUUUUUCCAUGUAUCUUUUAUGUUUUAUGUUAUUUCUUUUGUUUUAUGUUAAAAUAAAAAAAAUACAUAGUCUUUUAGAUUUUUGUCCAUAGAGUGUGUCCUCUACUCCGUCUUAGACAGAGUGUGGAGUUGUUUAAUUCUGUCUUAAGACGGAAUGUGAGAUUUGUUAAAUCUGUCUUGGAAUAGAGUGUCAUCUCUCAUACGGUUUGUUUAUAGAAAGUUACAUCAAUGGACUAGACUAUGUCAAUCACAAAGAAAUUUGUGUAUUGGAGAGUCUUAAAAAUAGUAAUUGACUUGUA
This is a long non-coding RNA of Juglans regia (Persian walnut), 1164 nucleotides long. RefSeq lists it as uncharacterized. The record is from RefSeq and is a predicted model, not a curated record. The transcript has 2 exons. Lineage: Eukaryota; Viridiplantae; Streptophyta; Magnoliopsida; Fagales; Juglandaceae.